GUGCUCUUGCAGCACAUAUACAAAACUUCUAAUGACACAGAGAAGAUUAGCAUGGCCCCUGCACAAAUAUGACACACAAAUUUGUGAAGCAUCACAUUGUAUU
This is a small nuclear RNA of Pteronotus mesoamericanus, 103 nucleotides long. The record is from RefSeq and is a predicted model, not a curated record. NCBI's taxonomy places the organism in Eukaryota, Metazoa, Chordata, Mammalia, Chiroptera, Mormoopidae.